RNAcentral lists this ribosomal RNA (429 nucleotides) under Bacteroidota bacterium. RNAcentral's name for it is "Bacteroidetes bacterium partial 16S ribosomal RNA". It matches the Rfam family "Bacterial small subunit ribosomal RNA", at positions 355 to 776 of the family's 1533-position model. Lineage: Bacteria; Pseudomonadati; Bacteroidota. The record is from RNAcentral.
UAGGGAAUCUUCCGCAAUGGACGCAAGUCUGACGGAGCAACGCCGCGUGAGUGAAGAAGGAUUUCGGUUCGUAAAACUCUGUUGUUAGAGAAGAACAGCGCAUAGAGUAACUGUUAUGCGUGUGACGGUAUCUAACCAGAAAGCCACGGCUAACUACGUGCCAGCAGCCGCGGUAAUACGUAGGUCCCGAGCGUUGUCCGGAUUUAUUGGGCGUAAAGCGAGCGCAGGCGGUCAAUUAAGUCUGAUGUGAAAGCCCGCGGCUCAACCGGGGAGGGGCAUUGGAAACUGGUUGACUUGAGUGCAGAAGAGGAGAGUGGAAUUCCAUGUGUAGCGGUGAAAUGCGUAGAGAUAGGGAGGAACAGCAGUGGCGAAGGCGAGUUUCUGGUCAUCAUCUGACGCUGAGGUACGAAAGCGUGGGUAGCAAACAGG